AAAGAAUUAAUAUGUUUUAAUGAUUAUGUUAUAAAAAUAAUGAAAGUAUUUGUCUUCUUAUAUUUAUAGAUAGUGACGAUCUCGGACAAGGCGUUAGAGGUAGUGGGAACAAUUUAGCUGACGUUGCCAGAGACGAUGGCCUAUUAUGUGGAACCUUGAAUAUAGGU
Molecule: long non-coding RNA, 167 nt
Organism: Argiope bruennichi
Lineage: Eukaryota; Metazoa; Arthropoda; Arachnida; Araneae; Araneidae
Exons: 6
Source: RefSeq, a predicted model, not a curated record